Stegodyphus mimosarum is the source of this 73-nucleotide non-coding RNA. Lineage: Eukaryota; Metazoa; Arthropoda; Arachnida; Araneae; Eresidae. The record is from Rfam.
GCCUUCGUGGUGUAGUGGUCAGCACACUCGGAGCGAAUUCCAGAGGUCAGAGGUUCGAGUCCCGGCGUGGGCA